UUGUUUUUGUGAAACCCAAAAGGAGGAAGCGACCUCAAUCACCCAGUCAUCGGAGAAACACCAUCCAAUCACCCCUCGUUGCUGCUUCAUUCCCUAACCACCGGCGACACCAAGAAAUACCCCAACACCACUGAGGACCACCUUGCUCCACCACGUCACCACCGCAGCUGCCCACCACCCUCUAUUCCUCCACUGCCUUUACCGAUUAAAUUCUCAAUGACUGAUUUCAGUUAAGCUUCUGAUUUAAAUCAUAAAUUUCACAACAAAACGAAAAUCACAUUUCAAGACACCCAUAUAAUUUCCCUUGUCUAGUUUGCAGAUCUGGGUAUACAACUUCAAUUUCUCUUUUAAUCAUUUCAUCUAGGGAGUUGUGAAGACUGAGGAAGCUGGAGAACUUUUAACAACCACUUUAUGAAGACGAUGUCAAGCUUUGUUGUUACAAAAGAAGAUUUCCCAAUUGAAUCCUUCAGAAGACGAAGAACACCACCACUUCCUCUUCAUCUGUCUACAUCUCUCUCCUUCUCUUCCUGCCCCCUUCUAUUUUCCUAAAACCCUAACACCACCUCCUUCUCCUUUCAAGAUCUGUAAGAACGAGUCUAGAUUAGGGUUUCAUUUUGGUUUCAAGAUCUGAAAUCUAUCACCACCAUUAUCCUGGUGAAGGUUUACGAAACCCUAACAAUGGCGUUGAAGGUGAAGAAGGUUUAGAUGACGAUGUAUUUAUGCAGAUGGCAGACCUUCGAUCUUCUUGUUUGUUUUCAAUCUUUUGAUUCGUCUGACCACCUCCCCAGUAUCGGAUCUGUAGGAGAGAUGGAGAGAAAGGUAGUGUUUCACCUCAGAUGAGAGAAGAAGAAGAAAAAGAAGAAGAAGAAGAAGAAGAAGAAGAAGAAGAAGAAAAAUGGUGUUACUGUUGGAUCUAUGAUGACAAUGUUGUUUUACAGAUGUAGGUGUUGACCGGUGGUGUCGUGGUGGUGGAGGUUGUUGUGUUGGCCGGUGUUGGUGGUUGUAUUGUUGACUAAUGAUGGUGGCGUUGAUGAAGGGGGUAUAAGGUGGAGAGAGAGAGAGAGAGAGAGAGAGAGAGAAUUUUUUUUUUCUUUUUUGUUCUUUUUAUUUGCAUAAUAAAUAAAUUGACAAAAAAAAUAUACAAGGGCAAAAUCGUCAUUAUAAAAGAGUUCAAAGCAAAGUGGACCAAACUCGCAACAAAAUGAAAAGUUUGGACCUCCAGUGCUAGUCAAAACUUUUUUGGACCAAAGUGUCAAUUUUCAGCUAACCACAGGGACCAUUUGUGCAGUUUAGUCCUUUUUUUUUGCUAAAAAAACAAUGAUUUCUUAUGUAGUUCUAAUAUCUUUUGUUGUAUUACAGGUUUCUUAUUUCACAGAUAACAUUCAACUAAUAUUAGAUGCUAUGCAAAGUUCGAAAGUUGUGGAAGUGCAGGGUGAGCAGAUACGGAGGCGAAAUGAUUGGAUGAUGCUUGUAGGAGGUCCAUCAAGUCCUCAAGUUGUUGUUGGGAGAUCUUCAAAUGAUAAUGAAGAGUUAGUGUCACAGCUUUUGGGUGUUCAUCUCGCAACUUCUCAAGAAAAAUUCACUACUCAUGGAGGUUCAAUGGCUUGAAACUUAUACCAAACCUUUUAACUAAAAAUUCAAACAUUUUGAAAAGUUCGGUUCUUGAUGAUCAUAUGAUAUGAAGACUUGUAAUUCUCCUUACAACCAGGAUCCUACUGAUUAUUUUGUCACAUCGGAUCAGCUCUUGCAACCCCUGAUGAUUUGCUAUGAUUCCUUGGUAUGCAAAACAUCCAUUCCAUUUACUUUCUGACACGUGUCAACCUCUGUCAGGGGUAGUGGGUGUUGGUAUUCAAAAUUAAGACUGUUGUAGAGUACAAACACUCAACAACACAAUUGAAUAAGACAAAAGAAGAAAAGGAAUGGAGGUUCUUCAGUACCCCCUCCCCCACGCUAUCCCUCCCACCCCAAUCGGAAGAUGCGAAACGGGCACUGUAUUCAACUUCAACUCCAACUCAUUCAGAAUCAGAACUUGUGCCUUUCAAUGAUCAUAACUCCGACCCGCUUGUCUUGUAUGGUAUGGGCUGUAUUGAACCUUGGAUUCUUGGCAAAGGGUAUCAUGUGGCAUAAGAAUAACAAUAAGAAUUAGAAACAAGAAGGUGUUCCUUAAUAGCAAUGUAGUAUUAGGUUAUAUAGUUAGGGAAAACCUCUUAAUAAUAAUGUACAAUCAGAUCCCCUUAAUACCAAUGUAUUAUAAUUUUUUGACUUGAUGUUAUAGGAUGAAAUUGAUUGUUUUGGUA
This is a non-coding RNA of Lactuca sativa (garden lettuce), 2297 nucleotides long. Lineage: Eukaryota; Viridiplantae; Streptophyta; Magnoliopsida; Asterales; Asteraceae. The record is from RefSeq and is a predicted model, not a curated record.